Apus apus (common swift) is the source of this 142-nucleotide long non-coding RNA. RefSeq lists it as uncharacterized. NCBI's taxonomy places the organism in Eukaryota, Metazoa, Chordata, Aves, Apodiformes, Apodidae. The record is from RefSeq and is a predicted model, not a curated record. The transcript is spliced from 3 exons.
CAGUGACAAACCUGAGACAACUUCAGCUCCAAUAACCAGCACAACUGCAGGAGAAGGCAGUGACAAACCUGGGACAACUUCAGCUCCAAUAACCAGCACAACUGCAGGAGAAGGCAGUGACAAACCUGGGACAACUUCAGCU